Molecule: unclassified non-coding RNA, 548 nt
Filed under: plant metagenome
Description: partial contains small subunit ribosomal RNA and internal transcribed spacer 1
Rfam family: Group I catalytic intron (bases 33-342)
About the family: Group I catalytic introns are large self-splicing ribozymes. They catalyse their own excision from mRNA, tRNA and rRNA precursors in a wide range of organisms.
Source: RNAcentral
AAGUCGUAACAAGGUUAACACCUCAUCGAAAGCCUUAGGCGUCUUGCAAAAGAUUCUGAAGUGCGCUAUAAAACAACUUCAAGCCUAGUCCGAACGAAAGUCUGGGCAACAUUCUCAAAUUGCGGGAACUCCCUAUUGAAAAGCCUUGAGUACCAAGUCUUGUGUUGAGAAACACAGAUGGUUGCAGCUAAUCACUGCAAGUAUGGUAAUAAUCUCAUUAGGAUUGGGUGAUCCGCAGCCAACUGUCUAUAAAGCAGACAACGGUUCACAGAUUAGACGAGAAUGGGUAGCACCCUUGUGUGCUAUUUAAGAUAUAAUCGGCCUCCAUUGCGAAAGCGUUGUGAGAGUAAGCGUUUCGUAGGUGAACCUGCGGAAGGAUCAUUAGUGAACAUCGGACUCUGACUCUGCAAAGAGGAGGUUUCCUUUCCACUACCACACACACUGUGCAUCUGUUCUUUUUUACAAUUCACUUUGUAAAGGAUUUUUAACACUUGUGAUAAAUUUAAUAAAGUCGUUGAUGUAAAACAAUUUGAUAAAUGAAAGAAAAA